Molecule: non-coding RNA, 45 nt
Filed under: Echinostoma caproni
Lineage: Eukaryota; Metazoa; Platyhelminthes; Trematoda; Plagiorchiida; Echinostomatidae
Source: RNAcentral
GCGCUGCUGACGAGUCCCAAACAGGACGAAACAGCUGCCCAGUGC